This 199-nucleotide unclassified non-coding RNA is filed under the name plant metagenome. Its description in RNAcentral is "partial contains small subunit ribosomal RNA and internal transcribed spacer 1". The stretch from base 1 to 46 matches the Rfam family "Eukaryotic small subunit ribosomal RNA", at positions 1786 to 1831 of the family's 1831-position model. The record is from RNAcentral.
AAGUCGUAACAAGGUCUCCGUAGGUGAACCUGCGGGGGGAUCAUUACUGAGUUCUGGUCUAACCGACCCGACCUCCAACCCUUUGUUAUCCAACUCUGUUGCCUCGGGGGCGACCCUGACCUUCGGGUCUCGGGGCCCCGGUGGACUAUUCAAACUCUGCGUUAACAUGUCGUCUGAGUAUUGAAUUAAAUCAAUCAAA